RNAcentral lists this ribosomal RNA (468 nucleotides) under uncultured bacterium. RNAcentral describes it as "partial 16S ribosomal RNA". It matches the Rfam family "Bacterial small subunit ribosomal RNA", at positions 28 to 507 of the family's 1533-position model. The record is from RNAcentral.
GACGAACGCUGGCGGUGUGCUUAACACAUGCAAGUCGAACGGUAAGGCCCUUUCGGGGGUACACGAGUGGCGAACGGGUGAGUAACACGUGAGUAACCUGCCCUCAUCUCUGGGAUAACAGUCGGAAACGGUUGCUAAUACUGGAUAUGAGCUUGCAAGGCAUCUUGUGGGUUGGAAAGAUUUUUUUUGGUUGGGGAUGGACUCGCGGCCUAUCAGCUUGUUGGUGAGGUUGUGGCUCACCAAGGCUUCGACGGGUAGCCGGCCUGAGAGGGCGACCGGCCACAUUGGGACUGAGAUACGGCCCAAACUCCUACGGGAGGCAGCAGUGGGGAAUAUUGCACAAUGGACGGAAGUCUGAUGCAGCAACGCCGCGUGCGGGAUGACGGCCUUCGGGUUGUAAACCGCUUUCAAUUGUGACGAAGCUUUUUUGUGACGGUAGCAGUAGAAGAAGCACCGGCUAACUACGUG